CAAGUCCUUUUGCUGUUUCACUGGCAAAGCAUCUGCAUUCCAUUGGAGCUAAAAUGUAUGGGGCUUUCUGGUGUUCACAUUGUUUAGAACAAAAACAGAUGUUUGGAAAGGAGGCAUUGGAAAUGUUGGACUAUGUGGAAUGCUUUCCUGACGGAUACAGGAAAGGAACUAAAAUAGCCAAGGCAUGUGCAGAUGCUAAAAUCGAGGGAUUUCCAACAUGGGUGAUCAAUGGUCAGGU
This 238-nucleotide unclassified non-coding RNA is filed under the name Hevea brasiliensis (rubber tree). Lineage: Eukaryota; Viridiplantae; Streptophyta; Magnoliopsida; Malpighiales; Euphorbiaceae. The record is from RNAcentral.